Molecule: RNA transcript, 2944 nt
Organism: Abrus precatorius (Indian licorice)
Lineage: Eukaryota; Viridiplantae; Streptophyta; Magnoliopsida; Fabales; Fabaceae
Gene name: probable pre-mRNA-splicing factor ATP-dependent RNA helicase DEAH2
Exons: 6
Source: RefSeq, a predicted model, not a curated record
ACUUCAUCUUCUCAUCCUUGAGUCUGGUCGUUUUAUAAUUGCACCAAAACCUAACCCUAGUCACUCCGAGAACCAUUUUUUUGGAUUAGAAUUAGGGGGGAAUUAGGGUUUCGGAAUUGAUGGGUACGGAACGAAAGAGGAAGGUGAGCUUGUUCGAUGUGGUAGACGAUUCUGUGGCUAAGAUGACGAAAUCCAACGGUGGCGUCAAUAACAGCGUCGCUAACAGUCUCAUCAAUCGCUGGACAGCGAAGCCUUACUCCCAAAGGUACUUUGAGAUUUUGGAGAAGAGAAAGACGCUCCCUGUUUGGCACCAGAAAGACGAGUUUUUCCAGACUUUGAAGGAUAACCAGACUUUGAUUCUCGUCGGCGAGACUGGUAGUGGCAAAACCACCCAGAUCCCUCAGUUUGUGUUGGAUGCUGUCGAUUUAGAAACCCCGGAUAAACGUAGGAAGAUGAUGAUUGCAUGUACUCAGCCGCGGAGAGUGGCUGCAAUGUCUGUUUCUCGUCGUGUGGCUGAAGAGAUGGAUGUAACUAUUGGGGAAGAGGUUGGUUACAGUAUCAGAUUUGAAGACUGCAGUAGUGCAAGGACAGUUUUGAAGUAUCUUACAGAUGGUAUGCUCUUAAGAGAAGCAAUGGCAGAUCCACUUUUGGAACGAUAUAAAGUUAUUAUUCUUGAUGAGGCACAUGAGAGGACUUUAGCUACAGAUGUGCUAUUUGGCCUUCUGAAGGAGGUCCUUAAAAAUAGAUCUGACUUAAAGUUGGUUGUUAUGAGUGCAACUCUUGAAGCUGAAAAGUUCCAGGGCUAUUUUUUUGGUGCCCCUCUUAUGAAAGUUCCAGGAAGGCUACAUCCUGUGGAAAUUUUCUAUACACAGGAACCUGAAAGGGAUUACUUGGAGGCUGCCAUUAGGACAGUGGUACAGAUACACAUGUGUGAACCUCCGGGAGAUAUACUUGUAUUUCUGACUGGAGAGGAAGAGAUAGAAGAUGCAUGUCGCAAAAUAUCAAAAGAAGUUUCUAAUAUGGGAGACCAGGUGGGGCCUGUCAAAGCGGUACCCCUAUAUUCUACUCUUCCUCCAGCCAUGCAGCAGAAGAUUUUUGAGCCACCUCCACCUCCACUGAAGGAGGAUGGGCCUCCUGGAAGGAAGAUUGUGGUAUCAACUAACAUAGCAGAAACUUCCUUGACAAUUGAUGGUAUUGUCUAUGUCAUUGACCCAGGGUUUGCCAAGCAGACAGUUUAUAAUCCCCGCGUUCGUGUGGAAUCUCUGUUAGUGUCACCAAUAUCUAAAGCCAGUGCACAUCAGAGAUCAGGGCGUGCUGGAAGAACUCAACCAGGGAAAUGUUUUAGACUUUACACUGAGAAAAGUUUCAAUAAUGAUCUUCAGCCACAGACCUAUCCUGAAAUUUUGAGAUCAAAUCUUGCCAACACAGUUCUUACUUUGAAGAAACUGGGUAUAGAUGAUUUAGUGCAUUUUGAUUUCAUGGACCCUCCUGCCCCUGAGACCUUAAUGCGUGCAUUGGAAGUGUUGAAUUACUUGGGAGCACUGGAUGAUGAUGGUAACUUAACCAAACUGGGUGAAAUUAUGAGUGAGUUACCCUUGGACCCACAGAUGUCAAAGAUGCUUGUUGUCAGUCCUGAAUUCAACUGUUCAAAUGAGAUUCUGUCAAUUUCUGCCAUGCUUUCAGGUAUUAUUCUUUUAUUUUGUUGCUUUAUGUUUGACUGCUUACAUGUGUGCUUAGUUGCACAUGAAUGUGGUCAGUAGUGUGUCCUGUUAGGUUGUCAUCAGCAACUGUCUUCUCUGGGUUCCAUGCCCCCGGUUGGCAGGCACCAUAGGAUUCUAAGUAAGUGCUGAUGUAGUUAGUUGCAGUUUCUCAGUAUUCUCUCAUGAAGCAAAUGGUGUGGUCUCGCCUCUAUGCAUCUGCUGACCUACCGUGGACCUCCUCUGUGAUAAUCAAUUUCUUUCUUUAGUACCCAAUUGCUUUAUACGGCCUAGGGAGGCACAAAAAGCUGCGGAUGAGGCAAAAGCUAGGUUCGGGCACAUUGAUGGAGAUCAUCUCACGCUCUUGAAUGUUUACCAUGCAUACAAGCAAAAUAAUGAGGAUCCAUCUUGGUGUUAUGAUAACUUCAUUAAUCAUAGGGCUUUGAAAGCAGCUGAUAAUGUUAGACAACAAUUAGUGCGUAUCAUGGCCCGGUUUAAUCUGAAGUUGUGCAGCACUGACUUCAACAGCCGUGACUAUUAUGUCAACAUUAGAAAAGCUAUGCUAGCUGGGUAUUUCAUGCAGGUUGCUCAUCUGGAACGUACAGGACACUACUUGACAGUGAAGGAUAACCAGGUGGUGCAUUUGCAUCCAUCAAAUUGUCUAGACCACAAGCCUGAAUGGGUCAUUUAUAAUGAAUAUGUUCUUACCAGUCGGAAUUUUAUUCGUACUGUUACAGACAUACGCGGGGAAUGGUGAGAUUUUUUCUUUAUGGAUUAUUGAUAUUAAGUGAAAACCUGAUGAUAAAGUUUUGAAUACGAUUAAGCGCUCAGACAGAUGCAAUCACAACAUUGAACUAUGGUGUUAGAUUAUGGUGGGGAGAAGUGUUGGAACAUAGUUAGAUUUUCAAGCACAGUGUUAUCAAAUUUCUUUGAUUUUGGGUUAUCUAGUUUUCAUAGUUCUGAUUGUUUGGUUAUGAAAUUUACUCUAACCAGGUUGGUUGAUAUAGCACCGCAUUACUAUGAUUUGUCUAAUUUUCCACAAUGUGAGGCAAAGCAUGUUAUUGAGAGACUUUACAAGAAGCGAGAGAAGGAAAAGGUGGAAGCGAGGAGCCGCAAAUGAAGUCGUCGCCAUCCACACUACUUUUUUUCCUUUGGAUUUGGAUUGAUGUUUCAUCUCUUGGAGCUGAGACAUUAAAUGUAAUACUGAUUAUCGGUAGUUUAGUUAAAAAUGAAGGAAGAUCUUGUAC